This 84-nucleotide transfer RNA is filed under the name Candidatus Omnitrophota bacterium. RNAcentral describes it as "Candidatus Omnitrophica bacterium tRNA-Leu". It matches the Rfam family "tRNA". Rfam says of the family: Transfer RNA (tRNA) molecules are approximately 80 nucleotides in length. Lineage: Bacteria; Pseudomonadati; Candidatus Omnitrophota. The record is from RNAcentral.
GCCGAGGUGGCGGAAUUGGCAGACGCGCAGCGCUCAGAACGCUGUGGUAGAAAUACCUUCGGGGUUCAAAUCCCCGCCUCGGCA